Molecule: ribosomal RNA, 467 nt
Filed under: uncultured bacterium
Lineage: Bacteria
Description: partial 16S ribosomal RNA
Rfam family: Bacterial small subunit ribosomal RNA
Source: RNAcentral
GACGAACGCUGGCGGCGUGCUUAACACAUGCAAGUCGAACGGAAAGGCCCUGCUUUUGUGGGGUGCUCGAGUGGCGAACGGGUGAGUAACACGUGAGUAACCUGCCCUUGACUUUGGGAUAACUUCAGGAAACUGGGGCUAAUACCGGAUAGGAGCUCCUGCUGCAUGGUGGGGGUUGGAAAGUUUCGGCGGUUGGGGAUGGACUCGCGGCUUAUCAGCUUGUUGGUGGGGUAGUGGCUUACCAAGGCUUUGACGGGUAGCCGGCCUGGGAGGGUGACCGGCCACAUUGGGACUGAGAUAGGGCCCAGACUCAUACGGGAGGCAGGAGGGGGGAAAAUUGCACAAGGGGCGGAAGCAGGAUGCAGCAACGCCGCGUGCGGGAUGACGGCCUUCGGGUUGUAAACCGCUUUCGCCUGUGACGAAGCGUGAGUGACGGUAAUGGGUAAAGAAGCACCGGCUAACUACGU